AUACGGGAGGCAGCAGUGGGGAAUAUUGGACAAUGGGCGCAAGCCUGAUCCAGCCAUGCCGCGUGAGUGAAGAAGGCCUUCGGGUUGUAAAGCUCUUUUGUCCGGAAAGAAAAGUCUUCGGUUAAUACCCGGGGAUUCUGACGGUACCGGAAGAAUAAGCACCGGCUAACUUCGUGCCAGCAGCCGCGGUAAUACGAAGGGUGCAAGCGUUACUCGGAAUUACUGGGCGUAAAGCGUGCGUAGGUGGUUCGUUAAGUCUGAUGUGAAAGCCCUGGGCUCAACCUGGGAAUGGCAUUGGAUACUGGCGGUCUAGAGUGCGGUAGAGGGCAGUGGAAUUCCCGGUGUAGCAGUGAAAUGCGUAGAGAUCGGGAGGAACAUCUGUGGCGAAGGCGACUGCCUGGACCAGCACUGACACUGAGGCACGAAAGCGUGGGGAGCAAACAGGAUUAGAUACCCUGGUAU
This 462-nucleotide ribosomal RNA is filed under the name uncultured bacterium. RNAcentral describes it as "bacterial SSU rRNA". It matches the Rfam family "Bacterial small subunit ribosomal RNA", at positions 339 to 793 of the family's 1533-position model. The record is from RNAcentral.